UACGUAGGGUGCAAGUGUUGUCCGGAAUUAUUGGGCGUAAAGAGCUCGUAGGCGGUCUGUUGCGUCGGCUGUGAAAACCCGGGGCUCAACCCCGGGCCUGCAGCCGAUACGGGCAGACUAGAGUUCGGCAGGGGAGACUGGAAUUCCUGGUGUAGCGGUGAAAUGCGCAGAUAUCAGGAGGAACACCGGUGGCGAAGGCGGGUCUCUGGGCCGAUACUGACGCUGAGGAGCGAAAGCCAGGGGAGCAAACGGG
RNAcentral lists this ribosomal RNA (253 nucleotides) under uncultured bacterium. RNAcentral describes it as "partial 16S ribosomal RNA". It matches the Rfam family "Bacterial small subunit ribosomal RNA", at positions 524 to 776 of the family's 1533-position model. The record is from RNAcentral.